RNAcentral lists this ribosomal RNA (219 nucleotides) under uncultured bacterium. Its description in RNAcentral is "partial 16S ribosomal RNA". It matches the Rfam family "Bacterial small subunit ribosomal RNA", at positions 586 to 793 of the family's 1533-position model. The record is from RNAcentral.
GUUCAGAUGUGAAAGACCCGGGGCGUCAACCUCCGGAAUAAGCAUUUGUAAACUAGGCAGACUAGAGUACUGUAGAGGGGGGUAGGGAAUUUCUAGGUGUAGCGGUGAAAUAGCGUAGAGAUCUGAAGGAAUACCGGUGGCGAAGGCGGCCCCCUCGGACAGAUACUGACACUCAGAUGCGAAAGCGUGGGGAGCAAACAGGAUUAGAUACCCUGGUAG